GAUGAACGCUGGCGGCGUGCCUAAUACAUGCAAGUCGAGCGAACAGAUGAGGAGCUUGCUCCUCUGACGUUAGCGGCGGACGGGUGAGUAACACGUGGAUAACCUACCUAUAAGACUGGGAUAACUUCGGGAAACCGGAGCUAAUACCGGAUAAUAUAUUGAACCGCAUGGUUCAAUAGUGAAAGACGGUUUUGCUGUCACUUAUAGAUGGAUCCGCGCCGCAUUAGCUAGUUGGUAAGGUAACGGCUUACCAAGGCAACGAUGCGUAGCCGACCUGAGAGGGUGAUCGGCCACUCUGGAGCGGAGACACGGUCCAGACUCCUACGGGAGGCAGCGGUAGGGAAUCUUCGGCAAUGGGCGAAAGCCUGACGGAGCAACGCCGCGUGAGUGAUGAAGGUCUUCGGAUCGUAAAACUCUGUUAUUAGGGAAGAACAAAUGUGUAAGUAACGAUGCACGUCUGGACGGUACCUAAUCAGAAAGCCACGGCUAACUACGU
RNAcentral lists this ribosomal RNA (496 nucleotides) under uncultured bacterium. RNAcentral describes it as "partial 16S ribosomal RNA". It matches the Rfam family "Bacterial small subunit ribosomal RNA", at positions 28 to 506 of the family's 1533-position model. The record is from RNAcentral.